AGGGAAUCUUCCGCAAUGGACGCAAGUCUGACGGAGCAACGCCGCGUGAGUGAAGAAGGUUUUCGGAUCGUAAAACUCUGUUGUUAGAGAAGAACAAGUGCUAGAGUAACUGUUAGCGCCUUGACGGUAUCUAACCAGAAAGCCACGGCUAACUACGUGCCAGCAGCCGCGGUAAUGCGUAGGUGGCAAGCGUUGUCCGGAUUUAUUGGGCGUAAAGCGAGCGCAGGCGGUUCCUUAAGUCUGAUGUGAAAGCCCCCGGCUCAACCGGGGAGGGUCAUUGGAAACUGGGGAACUUGAGUGCAGAAGAGGAGAGUGGAAUUCCAUGUGUAGCGGUGAAAUGCGUAGAUAUAUGGAGGAACACCAGUGGCGAAGGCGACUCUCUGGUCUGUAACUGACGCUGAGGCUCGAAAGCGUGGGUAGCAAACAGGAUUAGAUACCCUGGUAGUCCACGCCGUAAACGAUGAGUGCUAAGUGUUGGAGGGUUUCCGCCCUUCAGUGCUGCAGUUAACGCAUUAAGCACUCCGCCUGGGGAGUACGACCGCAAGGUUG
RNAcentral lists this ribosomal RNA (549 nucleotides) under uncultured bacterium. RNAcentral describes it as "bacterial SSU rRNA". It matches the Rfam family "Bacterial small subunit ribosomal RNA", at positions 356 to 896 of the family's 1533-position model. The record is from RNAcentral.